Non-coding RNA from Pelobates cultripes (western spadefoot toad), 205 nucleotides. NCBI's taxonomy places the organism in Eukaryota, Metazoa, Chordata, Amphibia, Anura, Pelobatidae. The record is from the annotation of a GenBank genome assembly.
AAUACGACCGUUUGAAGAUGGAAACCGCCAGUGAAGUGAGCAAUUUGGAGCAGUUUGUUUUUAACCGCUCUUCUCUGCCCUAUUUGAGAUCUAUUAGUUCCUGUUCGCAGUUGGUGGAAUGUUGGAGGGAUUUGAAAGAUUUCAAAGCUUCUCACUUGCUGUAGAGUGAGUGAACCACACUCCAACCUUUCCACAGUUACUCCAG